CUCUGCUCUUUAUGAUUUGAAUUAGGUCAACUUUCCUUUUUUUCUCUCUCUCUCUUCCUUUAAAGGGUCAAAACCCCUUUUAAAAGCCAAUUUGAACCGGGCAAGGGAAGGUUUAUAAAACAAUUGCAGUGACUUCUUCAGGCUGGUGGGUGCUACACAGCAUGUAAGAAAAUUAGAAAAAGUUCUGAGAGAGCUGGAAGAAAGCGGAGAGGAGUGUGGUUAAAAAAAAAUGAAUAAAUAAAUAAACCAAUAAACAAAAGAAGACAACUGUCAUCUGCCUAGGGCAGUUCUGCGUCCUCUGCCUCCUGGAUGUCGUUUCUAUGCACAGGACAGCGGAGCAGUGUCCCGCCUUUGGGGACAAGCUGUUCUUUUUCCACUUCUGGCUCUGACUUUACACAAGCGAUACCAAAAUGAAGAUGAGAAUAGGAAAAGUCAAGCGUGUAUUCAAUUUGGAACAACAAGGACAAACAUGGCUGGACACUUCUCCAGUGAUGAUCUCUGCCUGUGGCCUCCACUCCUGUUUGUUGGGAAAGACCAUCAGCUUUUCUCAUAUCAUUGCACACCCCAAAUCCUGGCUACUCUUCACAUCAACACACAAUUUGUCCGCACUGAUUUUGAUCACAUAUGAUAAUACCAGUAAUACAUUUUUACUCUGCGAGCUCCUUUGACCAUACACUUUAAAGAUCUAUACCUUAACUUCUAAUAACAAAGCCUUGUUAUUUUCAGUGAGGUUGUGUUUGUUAAAACAUUUAAACUAUCUCUUGUCACUGAAGUGGCUUUCCCGGAGAUAAAGACGCCAAGCCUAUCUUUUGCCUGUAAAGCUUCCACUUAAAAAUAAGUCUGGGGGUGCCUGGAUGGCUCAGUUAAGGGCCUAACUCUUGAUUUCAGCUCCUGUCAUGGUCUCAGGGU
Long non-coding RNA from Lutra lutra (Eurasian river otter), 909 nucleotides. RefSeq lists it as uncharacterized. The record is from RefSeq and is a predicted model, not a curated record. The transcript is spliced from 3 exons. Lineage: Eukaryota; Metazoa; Chordata; Mammalia; Carnivora; Mustelidae.